UGUUUCCUAGAUGUUGUCUCAUACAAUUUAACCCUCUACCGCAUGGUGUAGCCAUAUGGCAACAUACACUUUGUGUUCAUUUCCUUGCCACUGUCUCUUUAAGAGAACAUUCUCGUUUUUUUUGUUGGAAAGA
This is a long non-coding RNA of Sinocyclocheilus grahami, 133 nucleotides long. RefSeq lists it as uncharacterized. The record is from RefSeq and is a predicted model, not a curated record. NCBI's taxonomy places the organism in Eukaryota, Metazoa, Chordata, Actinopteri, Cypriniformes, Cyprinidae. The transcript is spliced from 4 exons.